AAUGAACGCUGGCGGCGUGCCUAACACAUGCAAGUCGAGCGAACGCACGAGACGUUUGCUUCUCUGAUGUUAGCGGCGGAGGGGUGAGUAACAUGUCGAUGACAUACCUAUAAGAAUGGGAUAACUUAGGGAAACCGGAGCUUAUACCGGAAAAUCUUUUGAACCGCAUUGUUCAAGAGUGAAAGACGGUCUUGCUGUCGCUUAUAGAUGGAUCCGCGAUGCAUUAGCUAGUUGGUAAGGUAACGGCUUACCAAGGCCACGAUGCAUAGCCGACCUGAGAGGGUGAUCGGCCACACUGGAACUGAGACACGGUCCAGACUCCUACGGGAGGCAGCAGUAGGGAAUCUUGCGCAAUGGGCGAAAGCCUGACGGAGCAACGCCGCGUGAAUGAUGAAGGACUUCGGAUCGUAAAGCUCUGUUAGUAGGGAAGAAGAGAUGUAUAUUCAACUGUGCACAUCUUGACGGUACCUGAAGAAAAAGCCACGGCUAACUACGUG
RNAcentral lists this ribosomal RNA (497 nucleotides) under uncultured bacterium. RNAcentral's name for it is "partial 16S ribosomal RNA". It matches the Rfam family "Bacterial small subunit ribosomal RNA", at positions 29 to 507 of the family's 1533-position model. The record is from RNAcentral.